This is a long non-coding RNA of Etheostoma cragini (Arkansas darter), 163 nucleotides long. RefSeq lists it as uncharacterized. The record is from RefSeq and is a predicted model, not a curated record. Lineage: Eukaryota; Metazoa; Chordata; Actinopteri; Perciformes; Percidae. The transcript is spliced from 3 exons.
AGAAUGUUUCCAAAAUCGUUUCAGUGGUUCAUCAACUAGUAACAGUUGAUGAACCACUUUUGCAUUCGCUUUGCUGCUCUCUAUUGGCUCCAACCGCACUAUGCAAGUUUUCCAGAUCGGAGCGGAUAUGUAGUUCGAAUGAGACAUAAGAAACUACACAGAC